RNAcentral lists this ribosomal RNA (253 nucleotides) under uncultured bacterium. Its description in RNAcentral is "partial 16S ribosomal RNA". It matches the Rfam family "Bacterial small subunit ribosomal RNA", at positions 524 to 776 of the family's 1533-position model. The record is from RNAcentral.
UACGAAGGGGGCUAGCGUUGUUCGGAAUUACUGGGCGUAAAGCGCACGUAGGCGGCUUCUUAAGUCAGGGGUGAAAUCCUGGAGCUCAACUCCAGAACUGCCUUUGAUACUGAGGAGCUUGAGUCCGGGAGAGGUGAGUGGAACUGCGAGUGUAGAGGUGAAAUUCGUAGAUAUUCGCAAGAACACCAGUGGCGAAGGCGGCUCACUGGCCCGGUAUUGACGCUGAGGCGCGAAAGCCAGGGGAGCAAACGGG